Molecule: small nucleolar RNA, 130 nt
Organism: Myotis lucifugus (little brown bat)
Lineage: Eukaryota; Metazoa; Chordata; Mammalia; Chiroptera; Vespertilionidae
Product: small nucleolar RNA SNORA42/SNORA80 family
Source: Ensembl
ACAUAGGAUAUGGGCGGCCCUUGUUUGUGGGCCUCUCAUAGUGAACCCAUGCCAGAGGAAGUUGCAGCCUCAAACCAUUGCCCAGCCCCCUUACCCUUGGGCUGUGAGCACUGAAGGGGGCUGUACAGUA